CGUGCGCAGGCGGUCUUGUAAGACAGUUGUGAAAGCCCCGGGCUUAACCUGGGAACUGCAAUUGUGACUGCAAGGCUAGAGUGUGUCAGAGGGGGGUGGAAUUCCACGUGUAGCAGUGAAAUGCGUAGAGAUGUGGAGGAACACCGAUGGCGAAGGCAGCCCCCUGGGAUAACACUGACGCUCAUGCACGAAAGCGUGGGGAGCAAACAGGAUUAGAUACCCUGGUAGUCCACGCCCUAAACGAUGUCAACUGGUUGUUGGAAGGGUAACCUUUUAGUAACGAAGCUAACGCGUGAAGUUGACCGCCAGGGGAGUACGGUCGCAAGAUUAAAACUCAAAGGAAUUGACGGGGACCCGCACAAGCGGUGGAUGAUGUGGUUUAAUUCGAUGCAACGCGAAAAACCUUACCUACACUUGACAUGCCAGAAAUCCUGCAGAGAUGUGGGAGUGCCGCAAGGAAUCUGGGCACAGGUGCUGCAUGGCUGUCGUCAGCUCGUGUCGUGAGAUGUUGGGUUAAGUCCCGCAACGAGCGCAACCUUUGUCACUAGUUGCUACAUUUAGUUGGGCACUCUAGUGAGACUGCCGGUGACAAACCGGAGGAAGGUGGGGAUGACGUCAAGUCCUCAUGGCCCUUAUGUGUAGGGCUACACACGUCAUACAAUGGUCGGUACAGAGGGUUGCCAACCCGCGAGGGGGAGCUAAUCUCACAAAGCCGAUCGUAGUCCGGAUCGCAGUCUGCAACUCGACUGCGUGAAGUCGGAAUCGCUAGUAAUCGUGGAUCAGCAUGUCACGGUGAAUACGUUCCCGGGUCUUGUACACACCGCCCGUCACACCAUGGGAGUGGAAUCCGCCAGAAGUAGGUAGCCUAACCGCAAGGAGGGCGCU
Molecule: ribosomal RNA, 885 nt
Filed under: uncultured bacterium
Lineage: Bacteria
Description: bacterial SSU rRNA
Rfam family: Bacterial small subunit ribosomal RNA
Source: RNAcentral